Molecule: small nucleolar RNA, 79 nt
Organism: Branchiostoma floridae (Florida lancelet)
Lineage: Eukaryota; Metazoa; Chordata; Leptocardii; Amphioxiformes; Branchiostomatidae
Product: small nucleolar RNA SNORD24
Exons: 1
Source: RefSeq, a predicted model, not a curated record
GACCAAUGAUGUCUUUAUUUGCUACUCAUGAUUGCGUAUGUGACGAAAACUACUGACCACCAAGAUGUCACCUGAGGUC